This 213-nucleotide ribosomal RNA is filed under the name uncultured bacterium. Its description in RNAcentral is "partial 16S ribosomal RNA". It matches the Rfam family "Bacterial small subunit ribosomal RNA", at positions 1289 to 1500 of the family's 1533-position model. The record is from RNAcentral.
CAGUUCGGAUUGUAGUCUGCAACUCGACUACAUGAAGCUGGAAUCGCUAGUAAUCGCGGAUCACGAAUGCCGCGGUGAAUACGUUCCCGGGUCUUGUACACACCGCCCGUCACACCAUGGGAGUCGGGAAUGCCCGAAGCCGGUGACCGAACCGCAAGGACGGAGCCGUCGAAGGCAGAUUCGAUAACUGGGGUGAAGUCGUAACAAGGUAAC